This 792-nucleotide unclassified non-coding RNA is filed under the name Hevea brasiliensis (rubber tree). The record is from RNAcentral. Lineage: Eukaryota; Viridiplantae; Streptophyta; Magnoliopsida; Malpighiales; Euphorbiaceae.
CAGACUUCUGUUGGAAUUAGAAACUCAGAAUCUAUGGAUUCUUUGAUUCUUUCUUGUGGGUGUGUAUGAAUUUCUUAUCUUCAUUUUUGGGUUGUUUCUUGCGCUCAAUCUGAAUUUGUAGCUCUGUUGGUGGAUAAGAUAGCAUCUUCUCUUAUACCCACUUCUCCUUUUCGAUUCCACUUGUUUAUAGUGAAUUUGAGUCUGGUGGACUUUGUUCCUCCUUAUUUCUUGUGCCUCUUUUGUUUUUGCUGGAACAGUUUCUGUAGAUUUGAUAGCUGGUCUCUCUCUCUCUUUCUCUCUUUCCNCCAACACCACACCCCCCUCCCCCCCUCUUUAUGUUUUCUAACUGGAAUUAGCAGUAACACUCACUUCAGCUUGGUACUGUUUCUUGGUAGCUUGCGUUGGCUACUGUUUUGGAUGAGUUUGCUGUUUGGUUUAAAGGUGGGGCAUCUACUUUGGAUGCUAUGUUGCUGGAUUGUAUCAGUAAUUUCCUUGAACUGGUUCGUUAAUGGUGAAAUUGUGGAGAGCAAGACUGGUUUGCUUGGUGAUGGUGGCAAGAUGUGGCUCAGGUUCUGGGAGAAGAUCUCAGGGAAUAGUUGCAAGAUGCACCAUCACUACUACCAGUAUUUUGGGUCGAAGAGAGUUAGAAAAACAUGGUGGAGAAAGCUCUUGGUGGCAUGGGUAAUUGGCUGGAUCAUGGUCUCUUUAUGGAUCUUAUGGUACAUGAGCUCACAAGCCACUGAGAAGAGGAAAGAGACACUUUCAAGCAUGUGUGAUGAGAGGGCCAGGAUG